RNAcentral lists this unclassified non-coding RNA (1172 nucleotides) under Leishmania donovani. Its description in RNAcentral is "gene:LdHU3.30.4850(CDS-product:40S_ribosomal_prot ein_S14)". Lineage: Eukaryota; Euglenozoa; Kinetoplastea; Trypanosomatida; Trypanosomatidae. The record is from RNAcentral.
GCUACCAGAAUGUCCAAGAAGCAGGAAGUUAAGGCGUACGGCCCGAACGUGAAGAAGGGCGACCUCGUUUACGGCGUCGUGCACAUCUACGCCUCCUUCAAUGACACGUUUGUGCACGUGACGGACACGUCCGGCCGCGAAACAUACGUGAAGGUCACCGGAGGUAUGAAGGUGAAGGCCGAUCGAGAUGAGUCUUCCCCCUACGCUGCGAUGAUGGCCGCCCAGGACGUCGUGGCGCGUUGCAAGGAGUGCGGAAUCAACGCCCUGCACGUCAAGAUGCGCGCCGUCGGUGGUGUGCGCACCAAGUCCCCUGGCCCUGGCGCCCAGGCCGCCCUCCGCGCGCUCGCCCGCGCUGGGAUGAAGAUUGGCCGCAUCGAGGAUGUCACCCCGAUCCCGACCGACUCCACCCGCCGCAAGGGUUCCCGCCGUGGUCGCCGCCUGUAAGGUCCUUGUGACCGCGCGUUUGGCGGACUGCUCAGCAGAGCGGGCUAACGCUGACGAAGAUAUGCUGGUUUCCCUGUGUUUGUGAUUUGCCAUCCUUUCGUGUCAAAGAGAAACAACAACAACAGCAACCCGUUUAGGCCAAGAAGCGGGCGCUCGGACUCUUUCCCUGCCUGCCCCAUCCCCAUGAAGCACGCCGGCUGUCGCACUGGGCACCUCAUGACCCUGUUGAUAGCGCUGGAGGCCUUCAUUGCGUGCUGGUUGUGGGGGGGGGUGGAAGGGGGAGAGGCGUGUUGUAUUCAUGUGAGGUGGUGGUGGCAUUGCGCAGCGGUGGGAAAAGCAGGGUCUUUUCCGUACUCCGUGACAGAGCUGCCGUGCUCAUCUUUUCCCGGUUCACUGCUUGCACUGUUGGCUGCCUCGCCUUCUCCCCUCCCCCUGCCCCCACGAAACGCGGUUACCGCGUCUCCUCCGUGGGAGAAGUGGAGUGGCACAGUUAAGGCGACUACAAGGAGCUCCCCCUACCCUGGAGGGAGACUUGCGGGCGCGGGACGCCUUGUCUACGUGAGCGUCUCUUCCCAAGUAGACGACUCCCUCGACUUUGUCCCCUCCGUCGCAUUCCGCCCCUCUCCGCCCUCCUUUCGUGUACGUCUCUGCAUUGUACACUUCCUUUCGCCUGCUUUCCCACGCUCGCGCGCAACAACGUGGACGCACCACAUCGCUCGCUGGAGAAG